This 744-nucleotide unclassified non-coding RNA is filed under the name Hevea brasiliensis (rubber tree). Lineage: Eukaryota; Viridiplantae; Streptophyta; Magnoliopsida; Malpighiales; Euphorbiaceae. The record is from RNAcentral.
CUUGUGAUGGCAUUUGGUAAGUUGUUUCUAUAUUGAGAAGUAUGAACUUUCAUUACCAUGAAGAAAAUUGCUCACACAUUAUGGAUUCUUUUUUCCAUUUCCAGUCAUUAUGAGUAUUUGUGGAUGAUAUAUUGAUAUUAGAACUUAUUUAUUCAUUAGUUAGAGUUCUAAGUAGGAUUGGAAACCUAAGAUACUUACUGAAAAUGUAGACCAUGUUAUUUGCAAAUGUAUGAAUACAUUAGAUCUAUAGGUGUAGUUUGAAACUGUAUCUAGGAGCUGUUGUUAAUCACCCCAAACCUAGCGGACUUAAAUGAUGGUUGCUUACAAGGUAAAUUAGAUUCCAUUUGCAUGUGGAACUAAACAUGCAAGGACAAAGGACAUUAACCGUUAUGUUUCCCAUUUGAUGGAUUCUGUUUAAAGUGUAAACCAAAUGGAACCUAUAUCUUGAAUGCAAACUCUCUUUUUCUCAUGUCCCCCCCUCUCUCUCUCAAUUCCUCUUUUUAUUUCUCUUUUCUCUUCUCUCCUCUCUCUUGUCAUCCUUCAUUUGUCAUUUUCACCCCAGCCUUCUUCAAGAUCAUCGUUCUUUUUUCAGUUCCACUCAUGAGCUGCUAUCGGCUCGGCUCGGCUCAUUUGCUUAAUGAGCCAAGUUUGAGCUUAUUAAUACUUGACUCAUUUAGACUCACAAGUUCACUCAUUUAUAUAUUAAUUUUGUUUUGUAUAUGUAUAUAAACACACACACACACA